AACCUCCGCAAUGUGAGAAAUCGCGACGGGGGGAUCCCAAGUGCCAUUCUUAACGGGAUGGCUUUUCAUUAGUGUAAAGAGCUUUUGGAAUAAGAGCUGGGCAAGACCGGUGCCAGCCGCCGCGGUAACACCGGCAGCUCUAGUGGUAGUUGUUUUUAUUGGGCCUAAAGCGUUCGUAGCCGGUUUGAUAAGUCACUGGUGAAAUCCUGUAGCUUAACUGUGGGAAUUGCUGGAGAUACUAUUAGACUUGAGACCGGGAGAGGUUAGAGGUACUCCCAGGGUAGAGGUGAAAUUCUGUAAUCCUGGGAGGACCGCCUGUUGCGAAGGCGUCUAACUGGAACGGUUCUGACGGUGAGGGACGAAAGUUAGGGGCGCGAACCGGAUUAGAUACCCGGGUAGUCCUAACUGUAAACGAUGCGGACUUGGUGUUGGGGUGGCUUUGAGCUGCUCCAGUGCCGAAGGGAAGCUGUUAAGUCCGCCGCCUGGGAAGUACGGUCGCAAGACUGAAACUUAAAGGAAUU
This 521-nucleotide ribosomal RNA is filed under the name uncultured bacterium. RNAcentral's name for it is "bacterial SSU rRNA". It matches the Rfam family "Archaeal small subunit ribosomal RNA", at positions 345 to 866 of the family's 1478-position model. The record is from RNAcentral.